This 394-nucleotide ribosomal RNA is filed under the name uncultured bacterium. Its description in RNAcentral is "bacterial SSU rRNA". It matches the Rfam family "Bacterial small subunit ribosomal RNA", at positions 362 to 773 of the family's 1533-position model. The record is from RNAcentral.
UCUUAGACAAUGGGCGCAAGCCUGAUCUAGCCAUGCCGCGUGAGUGAUGAAGGCCCUAGGGUUGUAAAGCUCUUUCACCGGUGAAGAUAAUGACGGUAGCCGGAGAAGAAGCCCCGGCUAACUUCGUGCCAGCAGCCGCGGUAAUACGAAGGGGGCUAGCGUUGUUCGGAAUUACUGGGCGUAAAGCGCACGUAGGCGGAUUGUUAAGUGAGGGGUGAAAUCCCAGGGCUCAACCCUGGAACUGCCUCUCAUACUGGCAAUCUCGAGUUUGGGAGAGGUGAGUGGAAUUCCGAGUGUAGAGGUGAAAUUCGUAGAUAUUCGGAGGAACACCAGUGGCGAAGGCGGCUCACUGGCCCAAAACUGACGCUGAGGUGCGAAAGCGUGGGGAGCAAAC